This 319-nucleotide long non-coding RNA is filed under the name Homo sapiens (human). RNAcentral describes it as "non-protein coding lnc-SNTA1-4:1". Lineage: Eukaryota; Metazoa; Chordata; Mammalia; Primates; Hominidae. The record is from RNAcentral.
ACUUUCUAGCUCCAGACUUCCCGGUGUAGCCAGGGCAGUGGCCCAGGCUCGGGGGCCGAGUGCUAGGGGGAGGGAUUACAACGAGUGGCAACGUCUCACCUGAGUUCUCCAGGUACAGGCCUGAUGGCUUUUGCGCAUGCCUUUGAGCGAGCCCCCUGGCUCAAAGUGUUUUUGGCCUGAAGUAUUCUAAAUGCCUAAAAUUUCAUCAUCGUAAUUUUAAUAACUGUUGGCCGGGCGUGGUGGCCCACGCCUGUAAUCCUAGUACUUUGGGAGGCCAAAGGAGAGUCACUUGAGCUCAGGAGUUUGAGACUAGCGUCUC